Long non-coding RNA from Astatotilapia calliptera (eastern happy), 2360 nucleotides. Lineage: Eukaryota; Metazoa; Chordata; Actinopteri; Cichliformes; Cichlidae. The record is from Ensembl.
UUGAAAUUAUCUGACACUUUAAAAAAAACAUCAUUCCCUUCUUUCUUCUUCCUCUUUUUUAACAAUAGCUAGAUGCUGAAGUACCGCAAACAUAACUUAAGGGCACCUGAACUACUUUAACCCCUGAGUAUAAAUACUAUAAAAUAUACCAUUAAACAUAAAGCAGAGCCAGUUUUGAACAUGUAAGGAGUAGAAAGUACAGAUAUUUGUUUACAAAUGUAAGGAGUAAAAGUAGAAAGUUAAGUAAAGUACAGAUACCUGAAAAUUCUACUUACGUACAGUAACAAAGUAUUUGUGCUUUGUUACCUUACUUUCUUCCCACCUCUGGUGACCACUGGUGAGCAUUCAGUUGUGUGUUGAUACAAUCCCAAGGAGGAAAGACAUCAAGAAGUAUUGUAGAGAGAAUUCUUGUAGAGAAGCAAUCCUAUCAAUCUGGGAAGGGUUUUGAGGCCGUUUCCAAACAGUUUGAAGUCCAUCACUCUACAGUGAGAAAGAUUAUUCACAGGUGAAAAACGAUAAUAUAGAUAAGUGCCAGUCUUCCCCAGAGUGGACUAACCAGCAAAUUCACCUCAAGGUCAGACAGUGCAAGGCUCAGAGAAGUCGCAAAAAACCCAAUUUCACAUCUCAGACUCCUCAGACCUCAGUUAGCUUUUUAAAUAUUAAAGUUCAUGACAGUACGAUUUAAAAAAAAAAAAAAAAAGGUUCCACAAGCUUCCACAAAAGGUUGCCAGGAGCAAAAAAAAGAGAGAGAGAAAGAAAAAAAAAAAGGAAGGGGCAACAAUUUAGCUCACAAGCAGGUUACCAUUGUUACGUUUCGGUGUUGUCAGUGUUUUGUUUUUGCGUGACUGUCAUGUGUUUCCUGUUUUAUUUUGAAGGUCUGUUGUUAUCUUAGUGUGUUCAGUUUACGUUUCCUUGUCUCGUCAGGUCUAAUUUGCCCCAGCUGUGUUUCCCUCCUGUGGUCCAUUCCCUGAUUGCUCCUUCUAUGUAUUUAAGCCCUGUGUGUCAGUUGGUCAUGGUCGCGAUCAAAACACCAAACUAUUUACAACACGUAAAUAGUUUGGUGUUUUGUUGUAAAUAAAUAGUCUGUUGUAAAUAGCUGUGAAUGGGUUUGUUAAUAUUUUCGUUUGAGACACCUUCGUUUUGGGAUUUUGGUGGAGAGCUUUAGUUUUUUUUCUCGUGUGUUUUUUUUCUUAUUUCUAUUUUCAUACGUUGCACGCCGGUUGCCUAGGCCGGGGUGUAACACCAUAUGUCGCAAGGCUGAAUGCAGUGGCUCAGGUUCAAUUCUGAUCUGAUCUUUUGCUGCACGUCUUCCCCCACACUCUCGCUCCGUGCUUUCCUUUCUCUCUUUACUCUGCCAUCUAAUGAGCUCCAGAAAUGCAUUAAAAAACAUAGCAGUAUAGCUUAGGUUUGCUAAGUUGAUUAAAGCACAAGAACAAGUUCCUUUGGAUACAAGAUCAAAGUAGAAAUAUUUGUUAAUAAUUCACAGUGCCAUGUUUGACACAAACACCUUAUGUCAAGUGUGAAGCACGGUGGUGGAGGGGUGACGUUUUGGGCUUGUGGAUCCACAGGUCCUUGCUGCACCUUGCAGAUACUGAGUCCACCAUGAGCUUGGGAUGCACCAAUCCAAUAUACAUCCAAUAUACAUACGUAGGAUCCUGACCUUUAUGCAAUAUAAGUCUUUUGCAUGAUGGUGGCAGUGUUUUUUUGUUUUUUUUUUUACAUGUAAUUGAUCCAGGCCUCCAUGCUAUGAAGAAAAGUGUACCAUACCAACACAUGCUGGCAGUGGUUCCUGGAGGAUGCUGACUGUAAUGAAACUGGAUGAAAUCACUUCCAAAGAAGGUCCUGCACCAAAAACAUCCUAGUGAUUGAUUUGUUUGCUGACAGAGUGGCCUGGUUGCCUGCAGUUUUUCAUGUUUGUCUUCAAACACUUGCUAACUACUAGCUGAGCGGUAGUACAAGUUGAAAAAGUGCUGCACAAACCAAAAUUGAAGAAGGUUCAUCGUCAAAGUAAAAGAAGUAUCUCAGCACUGCAGUGAAGGAUAUAAAAAAAACAACAACAGCAAUAGAAUAAUAUUAAACACAAAGUGAACCCGUCUUCCUUCAUUAAAUAGGUUCUUUUAGAUGUUAAGGAGGAAUUGACUUAACCAGGCUGGCGGAGAAUGAAGACAACCGGACACCUGCAGCAGAUGGGGGAAUCAGUGAACUUUUAUUGAGACAGAGACAACCUCUCAAACAGCUCACAUCAGGAGAUUCCUAAUAUUUGCUGUGAGGAUGGGUAUAUAUUCUCUAAAACUUACAGGAGGGGGUUGUGAGGACAGUGCUGCAUUAGCAGAAAAACAACUCCAUAAAAGGAAAGCGGC